ACGCUCGACACCUACGGGAGGCAGCAGUGGGGAAUAUUGGGCAAUGGGCGCAAGCCUGACCCAGCAACGCCGCGUGAAGGAUGAAGGCUUUCGGGUUGUAAACUUCUUUUAUUCGGGACGAAGAAAAUGACGGUACCGAAUGAAUAAGCCACGGCUAACUACGUACCAGCAGCCGCGGUAAUCUGAGCGGGCUGGCAAGGC
RNAcentral lists this ribosomal RNA (201 nucleotides) under uncultured bacterium. RNAcentral describes it as "partial 16S ribosomal RNA". It matches the Rfam family "Bacterial small subunit ribosomal RNA", at positions 328 to 539 of the family's 1533-position model. The record is from RNAcentral.